UUGAGGUAUUAUUUGAAGAUUAGUAUAACCAAAAACUUUUGGGCGAGAGUAGUACUAGGAUGGGUGAAUUCCUGGGAAGUCCUCGUGUUGCACCCC
Molecule: ribosomal RNA, 96 nt
Filed under: Beta vulgaris subsp. vulgaris (sugar beet)
Lineage: Eukaryota; Viridiplantae; Streptophyta; Magnoliopsida; Caryophyllales; Amaranthaceae
Source: RNAcentral